UACGUAGGGUGCAAGCGUUAUCCGGAAUUAUUGGGCGUAAAGAGCUCGUAGGUGGUUUGUCGCGUUGUUCAUGAAAUCUCACGGCUUAACUGUGAGCGUGCGGGCGAUACGGGCAGACUAGAGUACUGCAGGGGAGACUGGAAUUCCUGGUGUAGCGGUGAAAUGCGCAGAUAUCAGGAGGAACACCGAUGGCGAAGGCAGAUCUCUGGGCCGUAACUGACGCUGAGGAGCGAAAGCAUGGGGAGCGAACAGGG
RNAcentral lists this ribosomal RNA (254 nucleotides) under uncultured bacterium. RNAcentral describes it as "partial 16S ribosomal RNA". It matches the Rfam family "Bacterial small subunit ribosomal RNA", at positions 524 to 777 of the family's 1533-position model. The record is from RNAcentral.